CCUGGCUCAGAUUGAACGCUGGCGGCAUGCCUUACACAUGCAAGUCGAACGGCAGCACGGGAGCAAUCCUGGUGGCGAGUGGCGAACGGGUGAGUAAUAUAUCGGAACGUGCCCAGUCGUGGGGGAUAACGUAGCGAAAGCUACGCUAAUACCGCAUACGAUCUAUGGAUGAAAGCGGGGGAUCGCAAGACCUCGCGCGAUUGGAGCGGCCGAUAUCAGAUUAGGUAGUUGGUGGGGUAAAAGCCUACCAAGCCUUCGAUCUGUAGCUGGUCUGAGAGGACGACCAGCCACACUGGAACUGAGACACGGUCCAGACUCCUACGGGAGGCAGCAGUGGGGAAUUUUGGACAAUGGGCGCAAGCCUGAUCCAGCAAUGCCGCGUGCAGGAUGAAGGCCUUCGGGUUGUAAACUGCUUUUGUACGGAACGAAACGGUUCUUUCUAAUACAGAGAGCUAAUGACGGUACCGUAAGAAUAAGCACCGGCUAACUACGUG
This 494-nucleotide ribosomal RNA is filed under the name uncultured bacterium. RNAcentral describes it as "bacterial SSU rRNA". It matches the Rfam family "Bacterial small subunit ribosomal RNA", at positions 18 to 507 of the family's 1533-position model. The record is from RNAcentral.